GUGUGGGGGGAGGUGAUAGGUCUCUCACCGUAGGGCUCUUCAGACAUGGUGGUGUGGGGGGGGAGGUGAUAGGUCUCUCACCGUAGGGCUCUUCAGACAUGGUGGUGGUGGGGGGGGGGUGAUAGGUCUCUCACCGUAGGGCUCUUCAGACAUGGUGGUGUGGGGGGGGUGAUAGGUCUCUCACCGUAGGGCUCUUCAGACAUGGUGGUGGUGGGGGGGGGGAGGUGAUAGGUCUCUCACCGUAGGGCUCUUCAGACAUGGUGGUGGUG
Molecule: long non-coding RNA, 269 nt
Organism: Oncorhynchus tshawytscha (Chinook salmon)
Lineage: Eukaryota; Metazoa; Chordata; Actinopteri; Salmoniformes; Salmonidae
Source: Ensembl